RNAcentral lists this ribosomal RNA (549 nucleotides) under uncultured bacterium. Its description in RNAcentral is "partial 16S ribosomal RNA". It matches the Rfam family "Bacterial small subunit ribosomal RNA", at positions 355 to 895 of the family's 1533-position model. The record is from RNAcentral.
UGGGGAAUUUUGGACAAUGGGCGAAAGCCUGAUCCAGCAAUGCCGCGUGUGUGAAGAAGGCCUUCGGGUUGUAAAGCACUUUUGUCCGGAAAGAAAUGGCUCUGGUUAAUACCUGGGGUCGAUGACGGUACCGGAAGAAUAAGGACCGGCUAACUACGUGCCAGCAGCCGCGGUAAUACGUAGGGUCCAAGCGUUAAUCGGAAUUACUGGGCGUAAAGCGUGCGCAGGCGGUUGUGCAAGACCGAUGUGAAAUCCCCGAGCUUAACUUGGGAAUUGCAUUGGUGACUGCACGGCUAGAGUGUGUCAGAGGGGGGUAGAAUUCCACGUGUAGCAGUGAAAUGCGUAGAGAUGUGGAGGAAUACCGAUGGCGAAGGCAGCCCCCUGGGAUAACACUGACGCUCAUGCACGAAAGCGUGGGGAGCAAACAGGAUUAGAUACCCUGGUAGUCCACGCCCUAAAACGAUGUCAACUAGUUGUUGGGGAUUCAUUUCCUUAGUAACGUAGCUAACGCGUGAAGUUGACCGCCUGGGGAGUACGGUCGCAAAGAUU